RNAcentral lists this long non-coding RNA (325 nucleotides) under Setaria viridis. RNAcentral describes it as "long non-coding RNA (SVIR_LNC002005)". Lineage: Eukaryota; Viridiplantae; Streptophyta; Magnoliopsida; Poales; Poaceae. The record is from RNAcentral.
GGUGUAUGUAUGCCGAUAUAUAUCUAUAUCCAUCCUUAUUUAAACAGCAUUUCCAUCCCUUGUUAUCUACUGCUACCUCUUUAGGUAUUAUUUUUUUCUUGAACACGCUCAUUUAGGCGCCUUCCUUUUGUGGGCCACUGAAUUUUAAGCAAUAAUGAAUGGUUGCCACCUCCGAGCUCCCUAAAAUCUCACAAAACAUGAAUGUUUUUAGAUAGUGGAACAAAAUCUCGGCUUUCUCCUCCGCAAAGAGAAGGAAUUAGUUCACAUUGUUACUAAACAUAGUCAAACGCUACACAAUCUUAGGACAAUGUUUGUUGAAACAUAA